Molecule: transfer RNA, 21 nt
Filed under: Hypsiscopus murphyi
Lineage: Eukaryota; Metazoa; Chordata; Lepidosauria; Squamata; Homalopsidae
Description: partial tRNA-Lys
Source: RNAcentral
GGAAAGANUCUUUCCUCGGUG